This 778-nucleotide ribosomal RNA is filed under the name uncultured Neocallimastigales. Its description in RNAcentral is "partial large subunit ribosomal RNA". It matches the Rfam family "Eukaryotic large subunit ribosomal RNA", at positions 24 to 645 of the family's 3401-position model. Lineage: Eukaryota; Fungi; Neocallimastigomycota; Neocallimastigomycetes; Neocallimastigales. The record is from RNAcentral.
UAUCUCUGUAGAGUCUGCAUAUCAAUAAGCGGAGGAAAAGAAACUAACUAGGAUUCCCUCAGUAACGGCGAGUGAAGCGGGAUAGAGCUCAAAUUUGAAAUCUUCAAGGUUCUACCUUGACGAAUUGUAGUUUAUAGAAGUGUUUUCUGUUAGUGGAGUGGCAAAAGUUCUUUGGAAUAGGACAUCAUAGAGGGUGAGAAUCCCGUAUUUGGUCAUUCCUCCUAGCGUUGUGAUACACUUUCAACGAGUCGGAUUGUUUGGGAAUGCAGUCCAAAAUGGGUGGUAAAUUUCAUCUAAAGCUAAAUAUCGGCGAUGAGACCGAUAGCGAACAAGUACCGUGAGGGAAAGAUGAGAAGAACUUUGAAAAGAGAGUUAAAACAGUACGUGAAAUUGUCAAAAGGGAAGCGUUUGACACCAGUGUUGUUUUCUCGAAAAUCAAUUAAAAAAGAUUGGAUUUCGUGUAGUAUUGACUUUCAUCAGCUCGCUGCUUUCUUCUCAGAAAUUAUUGAAUGCACUUUUCAGUUAACAAGUCAACAUCAAUUUCUUUUGUUGUAAAAGGGUAAGAGGAAGGUGGCUUGCGCUUCGGCUCAAGUGUUUAUAGCCUUUUAUCUCUGCAAUCGGAGAGAUUGAGGUCUGCAGCGUAGAUCCUUCGGGGUUAGAUACAUUGGUGCUAAGCUAUAGCCUUGUAUAGACAACUUGUUGACUAUGCUCAGUCAUGUAGCUUACUCGCUGAUGCUAUUUUACCUACGCUUAGGAUGUUGACGAGACUGUCGAUCUC